UGUGAGCUGUGAGAGCAUGAUCGUCCAAACGGCGGUCUAGGUGAGUGUUCGCGGUGGUCUUCUGGAGUGGUUACAUGUCAAAACCAUGGAACCACGAAAGAAACUUAAUUGGGGAGCAUUUAAUUUCUCGGGUAGCUGUGGUGUCAUUGUUUGUGCAUGUUGGGCAUGUCCAAGCAAUGUGCACUUAGUUUACUGCUUUCUUGAGUGAUAUAUUGGGAACUGUUGGGCUG
RNAcentral lists this long non-coding RNA (230 nucleotides) under Sorghum bicolor (sorghum). RNAcentral's name for it is "long non-coding RNA (SBIC_LNC017582)". The record is from RNAcentral. Lineage: Eukaryota; Viridiplantae; Streptophyta; Magnoliopsida; Poales; Poaceae.